Molecule: ribosomal RNA, 324 nt
Filed under: Fulvius sp. UNSW ENT 00027611
Lineage: Eukaryota; Metazoa; Arthropoda; Insecta; Hemiptera; Miridae
Description: partial 16S ribosomal RNA
Source: RNAcentral
AUGAUUUAAUGAGAAUUAUACUUUCUUUAUUUUUAUAGAAGAAUUUAAUUUAUAAGUUAAAAAGCUUAUAUAUAUUUAAAAGACGAGAAGACCCUAUAGAAUUUUAUUAUAGUUUAUAUAUAUUUAUAUUUGAUUAUAAAAAGAUAUAUAUAAUAUAUAAUUUGGUUGGGGCGAUUAAAAAAAUUUAAUAACUUUUAUUAUUUUUAUACAUUUAUAUAUGUAAAUUUGAUUUGAUUAUUAAUUAUUAUAAGAUUAAAUUACCUUAGGGAUAACAGCGUUAUUAUUUUAAAGAGAUCAUAUCGAUAAAAUAGUUUGCGACCUCGA